CAAUUUGACCGUGGGUGAAAGCUCAUUUUGUAGCAAUACACAGAUUGUAAGGUGCUGCAUGGCUGUCGUCAGCUCGUGCCGUGAGGUGUUGGGUUAAGUCCCGCAACGAGCGCAACCCCCAUCAUUAGUUGCCAUCAGGCAAAGCUGGGAACUCUAAUGAAACUGCCGUCGUAAGACGCGAGGAAGGAGGGGAUGAUGUCAAGUCACCAUGGCCUUUAUGCCCAGGGCUACACACGUGCUACAAUGGAAGGGACAAAGAGCUGCCACUUGGCGACAAGGCGCUAAUCUCAAAAACCCUUUCUCAGUUCAGAUCGCAGUCUGCAACUCGACUGCGUGAAGCUGGAAUCGCUAGUA
This 354-nucleotide ribosomal RNA is filed under the name uncultured soil bacterium. Its description in RNAcentral is "bacterial SSU rRNA". It matches the Rfam family "Bacterial small subunit ribosomal RNA", at positions 988 to 1340 of the family's 1533-position model. The record is from RNAcentral.